UAAUAGCCCGCGUGAGGGAUUGCAGUGGAGCUCUUUUUAUGUCUGGCGAUUUUUAUUCGCUAGACAUAAAAAAGCGGGAACGGAAAGCCCGACCCGAA
This 98-nucleotide small RNA is filed under the name Flavobacterium sp. 103. RNAcentral describes it as "Flavo-1 RNA". It matches the Rfam family "Flavo-1 RNA". Lineage: Bacteria; Pseudomonadati; Bacteroidota; Flavobacteriia; Flavobacteriales; Flavobacteriaceae. The record is from RNAcentral.